RNAcentral lists this ribosomal RNA (471 nucleotides) under uncultured bacterium. Its description in RNAcentral is "bacterial SSU rRNA". It matches the Rfam family "Bacterial small subunit ribosomal RNA", at positions 328 to 792 of the family's 1533-position model. The record is from RNAcentral.
CUCUGUGACUCCUACGGGAGGCAGCAGUGGGGAAUAUGCACAAUGGGGGAAACCCUGAUGCAGCCAUGCCGCGUGUGUGAAGAAGGCCUUCGGGUUGUAAAGCACUUUCAGUAGGGAGGAAGGUAGUGUAGUUAACACCUGCAUUAUUUGACGUUACCUACAGAAGAAGCACCGGCUAACUCCGUGCCAGCAGCCGCGGUAAUACGGAGGGUGCGAGCGUUAAUCGGAAUUACUGGGCGUAAAGCGCAUGCAGGCGGCCUGUUAAGUCAGAUGUGAAAGCCCCGGGGCUUAACCUCGGAAUUGCAUUUGAAACUGGCAGGCUAGAGUCUUGUAGAGGGGGUAGAAUUUCAGGUGUAGCGGUGAAAUGCGUAGAGAUCUGAAGGAAUACCAGUGGCGAAGGCGGCCCCCUGGACAAAGACUGACGCUCAGAUGCGAAAGCGUGGGGAGCAAACAGGAUUAGAUACCCUGGAG